Molecule: non-coding RNA, 6565 nt
Filed under: Pongo abelii (Sumatran orangutan)
Lineage: Eukaryota; Metazoa; Chordata; Mammalia; Primates; Hominidae
Source: RNAcentral
AAAAAUCAAGAACAAAACCCUGACCUGUUCAGGACAGAAAAGACAAGGCUGGGUUUCCAGCAGAAACCAGAGCGCGGCCAGUGCUGAGGAGUCUAUUCUGAGCACCACGUCCCUUGGCAAUGCCACCGAAAAACAGAGAUCUCCUGGCCGAGAAUCAAAUGAAAACGGACAGGACCGUUUAUACCAACACAACGCCCUCUCAGCCCCAUCGUGCACAAACGCAGCGCAGAGCCCUAGCCUUCAGAGUGGAGCAGCCGAGCCGGGGACUCUGGGCCCCUCUGCCACCCGCAGCCCCAGUGGCCAAGGCCCAGGGCAGCGCAAGGUUGCCCAUCAGGCCUCUCCCGUGUCAUUCCCACCUCAACUUGCCUGCCCAGAGCAGGAAGGGAUGCAGGAGGAAGCAAGACGGCUUACCUGGCCAUGGCUGAAGAAGAGCAGGGCUCCCGAGUACAUGAGCUCCCGGGCCUCCGCGUGCUUGCUCUGGGACAUGUACCUGCCACAGAGAGGAGACCGUGAGCCGCGCCCUCGCCACUGCGCUCCCCCGCUCAUCUUCAGGUCAGAAGCUAAAAACAAGGCGCCCAGGAACAGGUGGCAUCCUAAAAGGGGGUGCUCCCCAUACGCACAGACACUUUUUGCCAAGAACAGGGCAGCCACUCCCAAGGCCCAGGUACUGCAUGGAGGGGGUCUAUCCUGGAUGUCCUGCUGACCAUGAGGGCUGCGUGGGGCGCCUCUGGACACUAAGGGCCUAUCUGUGUCCAAAUACACCAGGAGCCAGAAAGCAGCCUCACCCUGGAGCAGCUCACCGGUUUCAGCAGCUGGGACCAGUAAGGCCGCUGGGCAGGGCAGGUGCGCAGGGAAGGAGCAGGGGAUGUGCGUGUGGCCACCUGAGAGCUGGGCGGCCACAGGCAGGAGCCAAAGGAUGGGGGGCUCCAGGCUGGGGUCCCACGGGGGACAGUAACGGCUGUGACAGCACCUUCUUCCCCCACGGGGCCAGUGUCCCUGCCCUCUGCCCGCCGCAACCCUCCCCCCCACGGGAGGGAAGGGUCUGGGGUGCCCCGUUGCAUCAUGCUCGCCCUGCAUCACGUCCCCACUCCCAGAGCACCGUUGGCAGGGAAAGCUGGAGCUCCUCAGGCUGCACAGAGACAGAGGCACGGGGUGGCGAGAGGUGUGGUGGGGACCAGCGCGCGACAGACGAUGUGGAGAGAAGCCGAGGUGGCCGCGCUGCUGUAAGCAGCAGAGCCCCUGCCUGCGAGAACAGCAGGCGUGGAGGGCAGGAGGCGGCCUCUGCUGGGACGCGCUGCACCUCCCAGGUCCAGUGGUGGGGCCCAGAACAUGUUAUUUCAUUGGCUACACAUUUUUCCUAAUUAUCACCGCCUUACUAUCAAAAGAUACAUAACCAGUUAAUCACCUCUGUGCCUGCGAGCCAAAUGUCCUUGGACAAAACCUUGUUUAAAAAUAAAUCUAGUUAAAGAAAAAUACUAAGUAAACAGCAGUGCAGACCGGAUUCGGGGGCCCACACCUGUAAUCUCAGCCCUUUGGGAGGCUGAGGUGGGAGGAUCGCUUGAGCUCAUGAGUUUGAGACUGGCCUGGGCAACAUAGUGAGACCUUGUCUCUACAAAAAACACAAAAAUUAGCUGGGCAUGGUGGCGUGCACCUGUGGUCCCAGCUACUCGGGAGGCUGAGGUGGGAGGACUGCUUGAGCCCGGGUGGUCAAGGCUGCAGUAAGCCAUGACUGCACCACUGCACUCCUGCCUUGACGGAUGAGAGUGAGGCGCCAUCCCUCCAAAACAAACAAACAAAAAACAAUUGCAGUGGAGGUGAUAAAGAGACACAGCAAUGCCGCUGAGGACCGGAAUGACCUUGAUGUUGCCAGGACGGGAAGGCCAGCCAAGAACGCAAACGGCUGGCUGCUCAGUUAACCACAGAAAAGGGUUCCUCUUCAGAAGGCACCACAGCCAGGGACCCCAAACACAGACAGCCCCGCCACAUCCGGGCAUCUCAUUAGCCUGGCACACAGGCCCUCCCCCCACAGGAGACCCCAUCGGGUUGCACAGAGGCAGGGCACCAGGAGGGAAAAGCCUGCACCCAAGAGAGAAAGUGCCCCCGCCCCCCGUCAGCCUGCAGGCCAUUGGCAGGCCUCGGGUUUUGCUGCGCUCCCUGCACAGUAAAGGUUCUGGAGGGAGACCCACCCCAACACCACAGCAGGAGCCUCGACAGGACCACUGACUCUGUGACCGGCCAUCCUACUUCCAGUCCUGCAGGGCCGUGACUGACUCAGAGGAGGCCGGGAGCCGUCUGGCACAGGGCACUCUGGAAAAACAAGCUCCCAGACACACCCGGCCUCAUGCUGCUGACAGUGGAGCCAUGGGCAGAACUGCAUGCACCCACUCUGAGCAAGCACCACACCAGCUUCUGCUUAUGCCGAUACCACAGCGUUCUGGAUGCUUCUGUCUGAGGUAAAGCAAGAGGUGGCCACUUAGAUACCAGAAGAAAAGAAGGACUCCCUGGAAGGCAGUGACCCAUAUUCCUGCACGAGGAGCCUGUUCUGGGGGGCACUGCCAAUGGUCACGGCCCCUGGCCUGGCUUGGACUGCGCCUUGCGGCUGGCUCCCUUCUUCCCGGGGCAGCUGUGAGCCGGGCAAGGGGAAAAAGGAUGGGAGGAGAAUUCUGGGCAUACAGUGGUCCCCGGCCUGGCUGGGGGCACCCGUUUCCAGGUCCAGGAAUGCCAGUGACGGGCAAACCAUCUAAGGCGGCUCCGAACGUGGACGGCUUCUCCUCCUGUACUGGAGAAUUCUGGGAGCUGCGAAGGAUUUUGGUUUCCAGGUGACUAAGCCAGGACAGGUACCCUCUCAGGCCCGAGGCCGGGGAGAGUGGGGGGAAGCUGGGCAUGGCCGGGCCUUCUCCCGGCCCGGCUCUGCACGCUGCACACUAUUGGCCGUGCUGUGAGGACACCCAGACGUGCCUUCCAGAUAGGGAAACGGCUUCUACCUGCUGACAGGCGCUGAGAGCCAGCGAGCGCUGGUGCUCUCUGCCGGCCAAAACAUCUGUAUCCACAGAGCAAAGGGUCUGGGCAAACAAUCUAGCUGAUUUUGCUCCUCUUACAAAAACAUUAAAAAGCAGAACACAGAAACGCAAGCAUUAGAAGUAGUGGUCGAGACUGUUGAUGUCAAAUGAAGAAAGACCGAGCUCAUGGGGCGAAUCCUGCCCUUCUCUCUUGGCAGAAGGAAGCUGGCUUGCGCAUUCAGCUGUCAGGGACACAUGAAGGAUGAAGAGGAAAUACUCAAGACACACAUAGGUGCCUCGGGACAGGGAGCCAGAGGAGAUUUCACAAGGACCCCUCUGCCGACCGCCGCGAGCUAAAGCGCACUCACGCCCCGAUGCAGGGCUGGCUGGACGCUCCUGUAGGGGCGGCUGAGGCCUGCUCUGCUCUGCCAGCAGUCACUCCGAGAAGGGACCUGAGCCGGCAACUACAGCUCCUUCACAAGACGCUCCUCUUAGGCCCUGGGCUACGGUGUGCACAGCACACACUAGACCAUUUUCCUUUUAAACAUCUCUUUAGAUGACUGAAAACACAAAAGGAGAUCAGAGGCCGCAAUAAAAAAAAUCACGCAAACACAUUGCAGGAGGAACCACGUGGCAGGAGGAGCCAGACCCACGACCGUGCAGGCAGACAGGUGGGCGGCUGCUGCAGGUCACAGCCUUCUGGGCUGCGGUCUCAGCCACAUCAAGUUUCUAAAUGCAAAUCUACAAGUACUACAGCCAAGGCUGAGGCUCCUCAAGGCCUGGAUGGUGGCUCCGAAGUGCCCUGAUAAUCCCAUUGGCCUGGGAGCUGACUCUUCGUCCCAGCAGGGAGAAGUCUGGAGAAAUCAGGUGAUGACCACAACCAGCGCCAUCCCCGGGGCAAGGUCAGCUGCUCUCUAGCGUAACCACGCGAACCAGAAACUGCUGCCCGACUUCUGCGGGGCACACAUCCAGGGACACCAACCUGCUGGGUUCCCAAUUCCUUCCCUCUCCUUCACCUUAAACUGCUGUGGCUGUGAGUUAAAACAGCAUCUCUUGGGAAAGCUUGUACCUGCUGGUGGGAGUGCAAAUUAGUUGAACCAUCCUGGAAAGCAGUCUGGCAAUUCUUAAAAGAACUAAAAACAGAACUACCAUUCGACCCAGCAACCCCACUACUGGGUUAUACCCAGAGGACUCUAAAUGGUUCUACCAUAAAGACGCACGCACUCAAAUGCCCACUGCAGCACCACUCACAACAGCACUGACGUGGAAUCAAGCUGGGGUCUGUCAGCGGCAGAUGGAUAAAGAGAAUGUGGUCCGUAUACAACGCGGAAUACUAUGCAGCCAUAAAAAGGAACGAGAUCAUGCCCUUUGCAGGAACUUGGAUGGAGCCGGAGGUCGUUAUCCUUCGCAAACUAACGCGGGAACAGAAUCCCGGGCACUACACGUCCCCACUUCCAAGUGGAAGCUGAAUGAUGAGAACACAGGGACAGAAAGGGGCCAACAACACACACUGGGGCCGGCCUGAGGGAAGAGGAAGAGGCUCAGAAAACCAUUUUAACAAAACUGUCAGGUACCCACGCUUGGUACCCGGUGCUGAAAUGAUCUGUACGACAAACCCAAGUCACGAGUUUACCUAUAUACCAAGCCUGCACACAGACCUGAGGCUAAAAUAAACAUUAGCAUAUUUAAAAAUAAAUCAACAAAGCCUGCACACCUGCCCGAGGCUAAAAUAAACAUUAGAAUAUUUAAAAAUAAGCCAACAAACAGUAUCUUUUGGUAAAUUUACCCAACAGCUGAAGGGAUAAAUGACUGUACUGGAGACACACAGGGAAAACCACUCAGCGAUAAAAGGAACUGCGGACGCUCUGGAGGAGUCUCCCAGCCUCCGUGGUGAAUGAAUUCAAGCGGUUAGACAGAAAGCACACACUGUGAUUCCACAUACGUAAAACUCCAGGAAACGCCACCUCACCUGAGUGCAGCCCGCAGAUGCACGGGUGCCAGGGAUGGGGUGGGGUGGGAGUGGGGGUGAGGAGGCCUGGUUGCAGAGCCCCGCAGAGCUGUGGUAUCUUCCAUGUCUUGACUGGUCAUAGUUCAUUCAUGUCAGACCUCACCAAAUUAUACAUUUUACAUAAAUAUUUAAAUGUAAAUGUGCAAUUACAUAUAUUUAUUGACAGAAAGGCAUUUUAAAAAAUGGCUGGGUGCUAUGGCUCCCACCUAUAAUCCCCACACUUUGGGAGGCCGGGGCGGGUGGAUCACCUGAGGUCAGGAGUUCGAGACCAGCCUGGCCAACAUGGUGAAACUCCUGUCUCUACAAAAAUACAAAAAUUGGCCAGGCAUGGUGGCGGGCGCCUGUAGUUCCCAGCUACUCAUGAGGCUGAGGCACGAGAAUUGCCUGAACCCAAGAGGCAGAGGCUGCAGUGAGCUGAGAUCACACCACUGCUCUCCAGCCUGAGCGACAGAGCGAGAUUGUCUCAAAAAACAAAAAGCGUAACUUGGGGAAUGUGACUUCUCUGGCAGCGACACACCCAUGGAGUACUCUGAGGCAGAGCUGGGAAUCCACACGGAAUUCUACCCCGGAAAGACAAGGACGGUGUCUCAGCGGAUGACAGCGAGGUGACAGCUGCCGCUGCUGACUCAGUCUUCAUUCCUGGUUUGAAAGGCUCCAAGCCAAGGUUUGAGAGGUUCAGUAACGUGUCCCGGGCCCCGUAAGAGGUGGCGUGUGACCCCAAAGCCCAGGCUUUCCGAGCUAAGCCACACCAUGCCCCUGCCGGGUGACCUCACAAUGUCACAUGUGGCCAGCAGGGCCUGCUGUCUAGAGGGCUUAAGAGAACAGAAUGCUCAUCACUCCCCGUUUCACUGUGAAAAUUCACCCUUGACCAGGGACUCAUCACUGAAAACCAAAACUGACAAAUCCCUCGUCACCGUAGAAGUGGCUCAAAACAAGGAACACCUGUUGAUUUUGGGGGAGAUCCAUUUUUGCUGGUUAAUCAUUGGGCAAAUAUUUAUUUAUUUAUCGAGACGGAGUUUCCUCUCGUCACCCAGGCUGGAGUGCAGUGGCGUGAUCUCGGCUCACCACAACCUCCGCCUCCUGGGUUCAAGCGAUUCUCCUGCCUCAGCCUCCGGAGCAGCUGGGAUUACAGGCAUGCGCCACCACACCCAGCUAAUUCUGUAUUUUUAGUAGAGACAGGGUUUCUCCAUGUUGGCCAGGCUGGUCUUGAACGCCCAAACUCAGGUGAUCUGCCCGCCUCGGUCUCCCAGAGUGUUGGGAUUACAGGCAUGAGCCACUGCGCCCGGCAAACUGGGCAAAUAUUUAUAUACAAAUCCCUAGGCACAGCAGGCAUCAGGGUGAAUCUUGAACGACAUAAAAGUUCCCCAUCACACAGCUCUAUAACUGGCCCCUCUACCCACAGGAAGGCUCGCGUUCUACGGUUUAGUGCCUACUGACACCUUUGCCUUGAUCCCUGAAGAACAAUCAGGUUGAAGGCGCUAUCACAACCCGUGCCAUUUGGGAGCUGCUAAAUGUUCAGUGACAAAUUCAACCAGCAUUAAAAACGUAUCGCUAUAAA